CCUACGGGGGGCAGCAGUGGGGAAUAUUGGACAAUGGGGGCAACCCUGAUCCAGCCAUGCCGCGUGUGUGAAGAAGGCCCUCGGGUUGUAAAGCACUUUCAGUGAGGAAGAACGCCUGGUGGUUAAUACCCAUCAGGAAAGACAUCACUCACAGAAGAAGCACCGGCUAACUCCGUGCCAGCAGCCGCGGUAAUACGGAGGGUGCGAGCGUUAAUCGGAAUUACUGGGCGUAAAGCGCGCGUAGGUGGCUUGAUAAGCCGGUUGUGAAAGCCCCGGGCUCAACCUGGGAACGGCAUCCGGAACUGUCAAGCUAGAGUGCAGGAGAGGAAGGUAGAAUUCCCGGUGUAGCGGUGAAAUGCGUAGAGAUCGGGAGGAAUACCAGUGGCGAAGGCGGCCUUCUGGACUGACACUGACACUGAGGUGCGAAAGCGUGGGUAGCAAACAGGAUUAGAUACACGAGUAGUC
Molecule: ribosomal RNA, 465 nt
Filed under: Vreelandella stevensii
Lineage: Bacteria; Pseudomonadati; Pseudomonadota; Gammaproteobacteria; Oceanospirillales; Halomonadaceae
Description: partial 16S ribosomal RNA
Rfam family: Bacterial small subunit ribosomal RNA
Source: RNAcentral